Molecule: ribosomal RNA, 254 nt
Filed under: uncultured bacterium
Lineage: Bacteria
Description: partial 16S ribosomal RNA
Rfam family: Bacterial small subunit ribosomal RNA
Source: RNAcentral
UACGGGGGGAGCAAGCGUUGUUCGGAUUUACUGGGCGUAAAGGGCGGGUAGGCGGCCACUGCAAGUCGGUUGUGAAAUCUCCGGGCUUAACUCGGAAAGGUCAACUGAUACUGUGCGACUAGAGUGCGGAAGGGGCAACUGGAAUUCUCGGUGUAGCGGUGAAAUGCGUAGAUAUCGAGAGGAACACCUGCGGCGAAGGCGGGUUGCUGGGCCGACACUGACGCUGAUGCGCGAAAGCCAGGGGAGCGAACGGG